AGCAGCCGCGGUAAUACGAAGGGGGCUAGCGUUGCUCGGAAUCACUGGGCGUAAAGGGCGCGUAGGCGGACUUUUAAGUCGGAGGUGAAAGCCCAGGGCUCAACCCUGGAAUUGCCUUCGAUACUGGGAGUCUUGAGUUCGGAAGAGGUUGGUGGAACUGCGAGUGUAGAGGUGAAAUUCGUAGAUAUUCGCAAGAACACCGGUGGCGAAGGCGGCCAACUGGUCCGAAACUGACGCUGAGGCGCGAAAGCGUGGGGAGCAAACAGGAUUAGAUACCCUG
Molecule: ribosomal RNA, 280 nt
Filed under: uncultured bacterium
Lineage: Bacteria
Description: partial 16S ribosomal RNA
Rfam family: Bacterial small subunit ribosomal RNA
Source: RNAcentral